GACUCUCGACAACAGAUAUCUCGGCUCUCAUAUCGAUGAAGAACGUAGUGAAAUGCGAUACUUGGUGUGAAUUGCAUAAUCCUGUGAACUAUCGAGUCUUUGAUCGCAAGUUCCACCCGAAGCCAUUAGGUUGAGGGCACAUCUGCCUGGGUGUCU
Molecule: non-coding RNA, 156 nt
Organism: Camellia sinensis
Lineage: Eukaryota; Viridiplantae; Streptophyta; Magnoliopsida; Ericales; Theaceae
Source: RefSeq, a predicted model, not a curated record